Molecule: ribosomal RNA, 623 nt
Filed under: uncultured archaeon
Lineage: Archaea
Description: bacterial SSU rRNA
Rfam family: Archaeal small subunit ribosomal RNA
Source: RNAcentral
UAAUACUCCAUAGAUUAGAGACACUGGAUGUUCUUUAGUCGAAAGUUCUGGCGCCUUAGGAUGGAUCUGCGGUCGAUUAGGUUGUUGUUGGGGUAACGGCCCAACAAGCCUGUAAUCGAUACGGGUUGUGGGAGCAAGAGCCCGGAGAUGGAAUCUGAGACACGAUUCCAGGCCCUACGGGGCGCAGCAGGCGCGAAAACUUUACAAUGCAGGAAACUGUGAUAAGGGAACUCCGAGUGCCCGUAUACGCGGGCUGUCCAGGUGUUUAAAAAUCAUCUGAAGAAAGGGCCGGGCAAGACCGGUGCCAGCCGCCGCGGUAAUACCGGCGGCUCGAGCGGUGGCCACUAUUAUUGGGCUUAAAGCGUCCGUAGCUGGACCGAUAAGUCUCUUGGGAAAUCCGCCGGCUCAACCGGCGGGCGUCUAAGGGAUACUGUUAGUCUAGGGACCGGGAGAGGUGAGAGGUACUCCGGGGGUAGGAGUGAAAUCCUGUAAUCCCCGGGGGACCACCGAUGGCGAAGGCAUCUCACCAGAACGGCUCCGACAGUGAGGGACGAAAGCUGGGGGAGCGAACCGGAUUAGAUACCCGGGUAGUCCCAGCCGUAAACUAUGCGCGUUAGGUGUAC